AGAAUAGGUUCGUUUACGCGGCGGUGGGAGACCCGAUGCCGAAGAUCUCGGGGGUGGUGAAGCUGGACGUGUCGAAGGUGGAGGAGCGGGGGGAGUGCACGGUGGGAUGCAGGAUGUACGGCGAGGGAUGCUACGGCGGGGAACCGUUCUUCGUGGCGAAGGAGGAAGGGGGCGAGGAGGACGAUGGGUACUUGGUGACCUACGUGCACGACGAGAGGAAGGGAGAGUCGAAGUUCUUGGUGAUGGACACGAAGUCGCCGGAGCUGGACGUGGUGGCGGUGGUGAGGCUUCCACGGCGGGUUCCGUACGGUUUUCAUGGGUAUUUUGUGAAGGAAAGUGACCUUAGGAAGGCGGUGUUGUUGUGAUGAUUGAGGUGUGGGAUAGCGCCAUU
RNAcentral lists this long non-coding RNA (391 nucleotides) under Phaseolus vulgaris (common bean). RNAcentral's name for it is "long non-coding RNA (PVUL_LNC004480)". Lineage: Eukaryota; Viridiplantae; Streptophyta; Magnoliopsida; Fabales; Fabaceae. The record is from RNAcentral.